UUUCAUCCUCAGGAUGGGAAGUCCUCACAGAGUUCAGUUUUCCCUGGGGCUUGUGAUCACUGUCUCCUUGGUGACAUGCAAUCUGGGAGUGCUUUCUGGAGUCUGAUAAGAACAUACUGGCACAUUGCCUGUGACGUGUGGGACCCAGGCAUUUUCAGUGCUGAGGACUGUGUGUUUCUGUGCUGGAACUCAAGUGAACACUGGCUCAACAUCCUUAGAAAUCCAGCCCAAUUCUCUUGGUUAAAGAUAAGGUCUAGCUUUAUCACCCAGGCUGGAGUGCAGUGGUGCCAUGUCGACUUACUGCAACCUCCACCUGCCACCUCAGCCUCCUGAGUACUUGU
Molecule: long non-coding RNA, 341 nt
Filed under: Homo sapiens (human)
Lineage: Eukaryota; Metazoa; Chordata; Mammalia; Primates; Hominidae
Description: novel transcript
Source: RNAcentral